ACUGCCACCCCCUGUGUCCACUGUCACCCCCCCAUGUCCCCCAUCUCACUCUCAGUUUCCUAUAGGGUUUGGUUAUGGGGUCACCACUCACCACUCAGCACCACUCCAUGUCCCCCACCCCACACCUACCCACACUGCUAUGGGGUUUGGUUAUGGGGUUACUGGUCAGUGCCAGCCCCCAUGUCCACCAUCACCCACUCCUGUGCCCCCAUCCCACUGUCACCUUCCUAUGGGGUUUGGUUAUGGGAUCACCACUCACUGCCACCCCCCGUGUCCCUGCAGUGUCCCCAAGGCCGCCGUCCCGCUCCCCCCCCCAGGGCCGUCCCUGCGGGGUCCCCAACUCGGCGCUCAGCCCCUCACCCGGACACGGCGAGCAGCUGCACUGCGUGACACCGAGGAUGAGAUCUUCACAUUGUGACUGUGGGGACAUCAUUAUGGCCGUGGGGACAUCAUUAUGGCCAUGGGGGCACUGUGACUGUGGGAAUGGGAUGGAAUGGGGGGGGGGCUUCCACCGGGUCGUGCCCCACUUUGGGGUCAGCCAAACCCAUGGACUGGAGCCUCCCCUCCCACUGGAAUGGGGUUCACCCAGUGAUGCUUUCCCUCUGAUCCUAUUUAUUUGUAUGGCUUUGUCCCUUUGGGGUCUUUGUCCUUUGGGGUCUUUGCCUUUGGGGGUGUUUUUGGGGGUGGGGGUCGGGGUCGGUCACCCGUGGGUUUCCCACCCUGCAAUGUGUAAAUAAAAGGGAGCACCGUGGGGACACCACCGUCACAGUUGUGGGGUCACCAUCACUGCUGUGGGAUGUGGGCGCCGGCCCUAUUGGACCCUUCAGGCCGCCAGAGGUCGCCGUGUGCCCUCAUUGCGGGGGGGACACCGCAGA
This 875-nucleotide long non-coding RNA is filed under the name Phasianus colchicus (ring-necked pheasant). Its description in RNAcentral is "lncRNA (ENSPCLG00000017175.1)". Lineage: Eukaryota; Metazoa; Chordata; Aves; Galliformes; Phasianidae. The record is from RNAcentral.